AUUGAACGCUGGCGGCAUGCCUUACACAUGCAAGUCGAACGGCAGCACGGGUGCUUGCACCUGGUGGCGAGUGGCGAACGGGUGAGUAAUACAUCGGAACAUGUCCUGUAGUGGGGGAUAGCCCGGCGAAAGCCGGAUUAAUACCGCAUACGAUCUACGGAUGAAAGCGGGGGCCCUUCGGGCCUCGCGCUAUAGGGUUGGCCGAUGGCUGAUUAGCUAGUUGGCGGGGUAAAGGCCUACCAAGGCGACGAUCAGUAGCUGGUCUGAGCGGACGACCAGCCACACUGGGACUGAGACACGGCCCAGACUCCUACGGGAGGCAGCAGUGGGGAAUUUUGGACGAAGGGCGAAAGCCUGAUCCAGCAAUGCCGCGUGUGUGAAGAAGGCCUUCGGGUUGUAAAGCACUUUUGUCCGGAAAGAAAUCCUUGGCCCUAAUACGGUCGGGGGAUGACGGUACCGGAAGAAUAAGCACCGGCUAACUACGUG
This 486-nucleotide ribosomal RNA is filed under the name uncultured bacterium. RNAcentral's name for it is "partial 16S ribosomal RNA". It matches the Rfam family "Bacterial small subunit ribosomal RNA", at positions 30 to 507 of the family's 1533-position model. The record is from RNAcentral.